AUGAAGAGAUUUUUUUCACCGUUGUCUCCAACGAGCGUGUCCACACCUAUCAUUUUAGAUGGAGGGAAUCAAGUGACAGAGGAGGCUGAAUCAACACCUGAAACUGAAACUACCAUUGAAAUGGGACCACCGCCUUCGACUUCAAGCGACCCACCUGCAAUGUCAACUCCAGAGAGUAACAAUCUUGGUAAUCCCGCUGAUGCCCGUGAUCAAUUCUGUAAAAGUGAUAUUGAAGCUGAUCCUGGUCUUAGGAAACCAAUUGAAAGCUUAGAUCCGAACAUUAGAGAUGCUGCUAGAAGGAUUUAUAUAAAUAUGGGUCCAUGCCAACCAACUGAUCAUAAAUAUAAAAAAACACCCCAAGGAAAUUCUUCAACGAAAAGAAGCUUUCAUGCUAAUUGGUUCAAGAACCAUGGCGACUGGUUGGAAUAUAGUGUUGGUAAAGAAGCAGCCUUUUGUUUCUAUUGCUUUCUUUUUAAGCAACCAAGAGCGGAAAAUUAUGGUAUUGAGGCAUUCACAAGG
RNAcentral lists this ribosomal RNA (519 nucleotides) under Triticum aestivum (bread wheat). Its description in RNAcentral is "partial small subunit ribosomal RNA". The record is from RNAcentral. Lineage: Eukaryota; Viridiplantae; Streptophyta; Magnoliopsida; Poales; Poaceae.